RNAcentral lists this ribosomal RNA (497 nucleotides) under uncultured bacterium. Its description in RNAcentral is "partial 16S ribosomal RNA". It matches the Rfam family "Bacterial small subunit ribosomal RNA", at positions 28 to 507 of the family's 1533-position model. The record is from RNAcentral.
GAUGAACGCUGGCGGCGUGCCUAAUACAUGCAAGUCGAGCGAACAGACAAGGAGCUUGCUCCUUUGACGUUAGCGGCGGACGGGUGAGUAACACGUGGGUAACCUACCUAUAAGACUGGGAUAACUUCGGGAAACCGGAGCUAAUACCGGAUAACAUAUGGAACCGCAUGGUUCUAUAGUGAAAGACGGUUUUGCUAUCACUUAUAGAUGGACCCGCGCCGCAUUAGCUAGUUGGUAAGGUAACGGCUUACCAAGGCAACGAUACGUAGCCGACCUGAGAGGGUGAUCGGCCACACUGGAACUGAGACACGGUCCAGACUCCUACGGGAGGCAGCAGUAGGGAAUCUUCCGCAAUGGGCGAAAGCCUGACGGAGCAACGCCGCGUGAGUGAUGAAGGUCUUCGGAUCGUAAAACUCUGUUAUUAGGGAAGAACAAAUGUGUAAGUAACUAUGCACGUCUUGACGGUACCUAAUCAGAAAGCCACGGCUAACUACGUG